Molecule: unclassified non-coding RNA, 276 nt
Filed under: uncultured Orbiliales
Lineage: Eukaryota; Fungi; Ascomycota; Orbiliomycetes; Orbiliales
Description: sequence contains 5.8S rRNA gene, ITS2, 28S rRNA gene
Rfam family: 5.8S ribosomal RNA (bases 1-52)
Source: RNAcentral
AACGCACAUUGCGCCCAUUGGUAUUCCGAUGGGCAUGUCUGUUUGAGCGUCAUUACAGCUCUCGUCUUGCAAUUUAUUGUUUGGCGGUUUUGGGUUGGGAUAUGUUGGAAAAUCGACAUCCUACCUUAAAAUAGCACGCUCUGCGGGUGCUUCCACCUGAACGAACAUAGUAAUGAUAACUUGUUCCUGACCGGUGGAAAGGCAUUUUCCGCCUGAAUAACAAACCAAAUUCUAAAGUUUGACCUCAGAUCAGACAAGGAUACCCGCUGAACUUAA